GACGAACGCUGGCGGCGUGCUUAACACAUGUAAGUCGAACGGAAAGGCCCUGCUUUUGUGGGGUGCUCGAGUGGCGAACGGGUGAGUAACACGUGAGUAACCUGCCCUUGACUUUGGGAUAACUUCAGGAAACUGGGGCUAAUACCGGAUAGGAGCUCCUGCUGCAUGGUGGGGGUUGGAAAGUUUCGGCGGUUGGGGAUGGACUCGCGGCUUAUCAGCUUGUUGGUGGGGUAGUGGCUUACCAAGGCUUUGACGGGUAGCCGGCCUGAGAGGGUGACCGGCCACAUUGGGACUGAGAUACGGCCCAGACUCCUACGGGAGGCAGCAGUGGGGAAUAUUGCACAAUGGGCGGAAGCCUGAUGCAGCAACGCCGCGUGCGGGAUGACGGCCUUCGGGUUGUAGACCGCUUUCGCCUGUGACGAAGCGUGAGUGACGGUAAUGGGUAAAGAAGCACCGGCUAACUACGUG
This 468-nucleotide ribosomal RNA is filed under the name uncultured bacterium. RNAcentral describes it as "partial 16S ribosomal RNA". It matches the Rfam family "Bacterial small subunit ribosomal RNA", at positions 28 to 507 of the family's 1533-position model. The record is from RNAcentral.